GCCAGUGUGGCGUAGUGGUUUGGUUGUUGGACUACUACUCUGGAGACCAGGGUUUGAUUCCCAGGUCAGCCA
RNAcentral lists this transfer RNA (72 nucleotides) under Phrynosoma platyrhinos (Desert horned lizard). RNAcentral describes it as "tRNA-OTHER". Lineage: Eukaryota; Metazoa; Chordata; Lepidosauria; Squamata; Phrynosomatidae. The record is from RNAcentral.